CAAUAGCGUAUAUUAAAGUUGUUGCAGUUAAAAAGCUCGUAGUUGGAUUUCUGGGAGGGUGCCGCCGUCCGGCGUGUCCGUGUGCAGUGGCGCCCUUCCAUCCUUCUGUUAGCGUCUCUUGGCAUUCAUUUGCUGGUGGCGGGCUCAGAUAUUUUACCUUGAGAAAAUUAGAGUGUUUCAGGCAGGCUAGGCCGGAAUACAUUAGCAUGGAAUAAUGGAAUAGGACUACGGUCUCUUUGUUGGUUUGAGGGACUGCAGUAAUGAUUAAUAGGGAUAGUUGGGGGCAUUAGUAUUUAAUUGUCAGAGGUGGAAUUCUCAGAUUUGUUAAAGACUAACUUAUGCGAANGNAUUUGCNAAGGAUGUUUNCAUUA
Molecule: ribosomal RNA, 371 nt
Filed under: uncultured eukaryote
Lineage: Eukaryota
Description: partial 18S ribosomal RNA
Rfam family: Eukaryotic small subunit ribosomal RNA
Source: RNAcentral